GACGAACGCUGGCGGCGUGCCUAAUACAUGCAAGUAGAACGCUGAAGCUUGGUGCUUGCACCGAGCGGAUGAGUUGCGAACGGGUGAGUAACGCGUAGGUAACCUGCCUGGUAGCGGGGGAUAACUAUUGGAAACGAUAGCUAAUACCGCAUAACAGUAGAUAUCGCAUGAUAGCUACUUGAAAGGUGCAAAUGCACCACUACCAGAUGGACCUGCGUUGUAUUAGCUAGUUGGUGAGGUAACGGCUCACCAAGGCAACGAUACAUAGCCGACCUGAGAGGGUGAUCGGCCACACUGGGACUGAGACACGGCCCAGACUCCUACGGGAGGCAGCAGUAGGGAAUCUUCGGCAAUGGACGGAAGUCUGACCGAGCAACGCCGCGUGAGUGAAGAAGGUUUUCGGAUCGUAAAGCUCUGUUGUAAGAGAAGAACGAGUGUGAGAGUGGAAAGUUCACACUGUGGCGGUAUCUUACCAGAAAGGGACGGCUAACUACGUG
RNAcentral lists this ribosomal RNA (497 nucleotides) under uncultured bacterium. RNAcentral describes it as "partial 16S ribosomal RNA". It matches the Rfam family "Bacterial small subunit ribosomal RNA", at positions 28 to 507 of the family's 1533-position model. The record is from RNAcentral.